UAGGGAAUCUUCCGCAAUGGGCGCAAGCCUGAUGGAGCAACGCCGCGUGUGUGAUGAAGGCUUUCGGGUCGUAAAGCACUGUUGUAUGGGAAGAAAUGCUAGAAUAGGGAAUGAUUCUAGUUCGACGGUACCAUACCAGAAAGGGACGGCUAAAUACGUGCCAG
RNAcentral lists this ribosomal RNA (164 nucleotides) under uncultured bacterium. RNAcentral describes it as "partial 16S rRNA". It matches the Rfam family "Bacterial small subunit ribosomal RNA", at positions 355 to 511 of the family's 1533-position model. The record is from RNAcentral.